Molecule: ribosomal RNA, 209 nt
Filed under: uncultured bacterium
Lineage: Bacteria
Description: partial 16S ribosomal RNA
Rfam family: Bacterial small subunit ribosomal RNA
Source: RNAcentral
UGCGUAGGCGGCGGGGUAAGUUUGAUGUGAAAUCCCGGGGCUCAACCCUGGAAUUGCAUUGAAUACUACCUUGCUAGAGUACCGGAGAGGAAACUGGAAUUUACGGUGUAGCAGUGAAAUGCGUAGAGAUCGUAAGGAAGACCAGUGGCGAAGGCGAGUUUCUGGACGGUAACUGACGCUGAGGCACGAAGGCCAGGGGAGGCAAACGG